ACUCACUCUUAUGGAAGAAUAUUAGACUCAAAUGUUUUGUAUGUGUGUAUCACGUUUUGAAACUGUAGAAAUGAUUUGUAACUGUAAAAAUGAUCCGUACAAGUAAUUGUCAAAAUUACAAAUACGCCCUACACUUACAAAUCUAUUCUACAGGUACGGAUCGGUUUUACAGCUACAAAUCAUCCUACAGUUAAAAAUAUUUUUCCAUUACAAAAAUAUUCUACAAAUCAAUAUUCUACGCACAAAAAGUUGUCCUACAGUUACACAUCUUUUCUGCAAGUGCACAGACUUUUGCACCACCUUAGGGAUGAGAAGUGUCUCA
Molecule: long non-coding RNA, 322 nt
Organism: Alosa sapidissima (American shad)
Lineage: Eukaryota; Metazoa; Chordata; Actinopteri; Clupeiformes; Clupeidae
Exons: 3
Source: RefSeq, a predicted model, not a curated record